RNAcentral lists this ribosomal RNA (253 nucleotides) under uncultured bacterium. RNAcentral describes it as "partial 16S ribosomal RNA". It matches the Rfam family "Bacterial small subunit ribosomal RNA", at positions 524 to 776 of the family's 1533-position model. The record is from RNAcentral.
UACGUAGGGUGCAAGCGUUAAUCGGAAUUACUGGGCGUAAAGCGUGCGCAGGCGGUUUUGUAAGACAGGCGUGAAAUCCCCGGGCUCAACCUGGGAAUUGCGCUUGUGACUGCAAAGCUGGAGUGCGGCAGAGGGGGAUGGAAUUCCGCGUGUAGCAGUGAAAUGCGUAGAUAUGCGGAGGAACACCGAUGGCGAAGGCAAUCCCCUGGGCCUGCACUGACGCUCAUGCACAAAAGCGUGGGGAGCAAACAGG